Molecule: unclassified non-coding RNA, 266 nt
Filed under: Pinguicula mirandae
Lineage: Eukaryota; Viridiplantae; Streptophyta; Magnoliopsida; Lamiales; Lentibulariaceae
Description: ITS1
Source: RNAcentral
UCGAAUCCCGCAACGAGCAGACCGCGCACACGUAAUUUGCUGCACGGGGCAUCCGAUGGGAAGGUGCGUGCGCGCCUCCCUCCCGUUGGUUGCCCCGCACCCGCCCGGGCCCUCGCGCGAGCGAGUGCAACAGGCGGAGCCACAACAAACCCACGGCGUAAAAGGCGCCAAGGAUCACAAACGCGGAACGCCACCCGCGUCGUGCACCCGUUCGUGGUGUGCCGUUCGUGGGAUGUGCGUCUCCCUAGAUUGAAUACGGAAGAAAU